UACAGAGGUCUCAAGCGUUGUUCGGAUUCAUUGGGCGUAAAGGGUUCGUAGGCGGUGCGGUAAGUCGGGUGUGAAAUCUCGGAGCUUAACUCCGAAACUGCAUUCGAUACUGCCGUGCUUGAGGACUGGAGAGGAGACUGGAAUUUACGGUGUAGCGGUGAAAUGCGUAGAUAUCGUAAGGAAGACCAGUGGCGAAGGCGGGUCUCUGGACAGUUCCUGACGCUGAGGCACGAAGGUCAGGGGAGCAAACGGG
This 253-nucleotide ribosomal RNA is filed under the name uncultured bacterium. Its description in RNAcentral is "partial 16S ribosomal RNA". It matches the Rfam family "Bacterial small subunit ribosomal RNA", at positions 524 to 776 of the family's 1533-position model. The record is from RNAcentral.